RNAcentral lists this ribosomal RNA (264 nucleotides) under uncultured Atopobium sp. Its description in RNAcentral is "partial 16S ribosomal RNA". It matches the Rfam family "Bacterial small subunit ribosomal RNA", at positions 92 to 356 of the family's 1533-position model. Lineage: Bacteria; Bacillati; Actinomycetota; Coriobacteriia; Coriobacteriales; Atopobiaceae. The record is from RNAcentral.
AAAGUGGCGAACGGCUGAGUAACACGUGGGCAACCUGCCCUUUGCACUGGGAUAGCCUCGGGAAACCGAGGUUAAUACCGGAUACUCCAUAUUUGUCGCAUGGCGAAUAUGGGAAAGCUCCGGCGGCAAAGGAUGGGCCCGCGGCCUGUUAGCUAGUUGGUGGGGUAGUGGCCUACCAAGGCAAUGAUGGGUAGCCGGGUUGAGAGACCGACCGGCCAGAUUGGGACUGAGACACGGCCCAGACUCCUACGGGAGGCAGCAGNG